UACAGAGGGUGCGAGCGUUAAUCGGAAUUACUGGGCGUAAAGGGCGCGUAGGCGGUUUGUUAAGAUAGAUGUGAAAUCCCUGGGCUUAACCUAGGAACUGCAUCUGUGACUGAUGGACUAGAGUACUGUAGAGGGUAGUGGAAUUUCCGGUGUAGCGGUGAAAUGCGUAGAGAUCGGAAGGAACACCAGUGGCGAAGGCGGCUACCUGGACAGAUACUGACGCUGAGGCGCGAGAGCGUGGGGAGCAAACAGA
This 253-nucleotide ribosomal RNA is filed under the name uncultured bacterium. RNAcentral's name for it is "partial 16S ribosomal RNA". It matches the Rfam family "Bacterial small subunit ribosomal RNA", at positions 524 to 776 of the family's 1533-position model. The record is from RNAcentral.